Molecule: ribosomal RNA, 406 nt
Filed under: uncultured bacterium
Lineage: Bacteria
Description: partial 16S ribosomal RNA
Rfam family: Bacterial small subunit ribosomal RNA
Source: RNAcentral
AUUGAACGCUGGCGGCAGGCCUAACACAUGCAAGUCGAGCGAGUGGCGGACGGGUGAGUAAUGUCUGGGAAACUGCCCGAUGGAGGGGGAUAACUACUGGAAACGGUCUCUAAUACCGCAUACCAUCGGAUGUUCCCAGAUGGGAUUAGCUAGUAGGUGGGGUAACGGCUCACCUAGGCGACGAUCCCUAGCUGGUCUGAGAGGAUGAGCAGCCACACGGGAACUGAGACACGGUCCAGACUCCUAAGGGAGGCAGCAGUGGGGAAGAUUGCACAAUGGGCGCAAGCCUGAUGCAGCCAUGCCGCGUGUAUGAAGAAGGCCUUGGGGUUGGAAAGUACUUUCAGCGGGGAGGCGUUACCCGCAGAAGAAGCACCGGCUAACUCCGUGCCAGCCGCCGCGGUAAUAC